Molecule: non-coding RNA, 910 nt
Filed under: Geotria australis
Lineage: Eukaryota; Metazoa; Chordata; Hyperoartia; Petromyzontiformes; Geotriidae
Source: RNAcentral
CAAAGGAUUAGUUCCAGCCUUAAUAUCAACUACCUACGAAAUUACACAUGCAAGUUUCCGCACUCCCGUGAGGACCCCCUUUGACUAUAGACAUAGAAAAAGAGCUGGCAUUAGGCUCUACAACCUGUAAGCCCACGACACCUAGCCACCCACACCCUCAAGGGUACUCAGCAGUGAUAAACCUUAAGCAAUGAGCGCAAGCCCGACUAAGUUACGUACUAUAGAGCUGGUAAACCUCGUGCCAGCCACCGCGGUUACACGAGGGGCUCAAGUUGAUACCUCCGGCACAAAGCGUGAUUAAAAUACUAACUAUUCUAUACUAUAGAAGCCCCCAAUGCCUGCUAGUUGAAUAGGUAUGCACAAAUAUUUCAACAUCGAAAGAAUCUAUACUAAACAGACUUUAUUUGACAUCACGAAAGCAAAGCUACAAACCGGGAUUAGAUACCCCGCUAUGCCUGCUGUAAAUAAACUACCGUCGCCAGGGCACUACGAACACUCGUUUAAAACCCAAAGAACUUGAUGGUACCCUAAACCCACCUAGAGGAGCCUGUUCUAUAAUCCGAUACCCCACGUUUUACCCCACCGCCUCUUGCCCCCCAGUCUAUAUACCGCCGUCGCCAGCCAACCUUACAAAAGAAUCACCGUAGGCAGGAACGCUUCUAUGCAAACACGUCAGGUCGAGGUGCAGCCAAUGAGGUCGGCAGAAAUGGGCUACACUCUCUUCCCAGAGAAUACGAAUAACUUAAUGAAAUCUUAUAUUUGAAGGUGGAUCUAGCAGUAAAUGAAAACAGUCUAUUUCAUUGAAGUUGGCUUCUAGGAUGCGUACACACCGCCCGUCACUCUCCUCCUCCCCCAAAUUUCUGGAGAAAAGUCGUAACAUGGUAAGUAUACCGGAAGGUGUGCUUGGAGA